GUUUUGUUACUUGGAAGAAAGGAGAAUUUAAUAGUCAUAGGCCACAAGUACAACAAAAUGUGUUAAAAAAAAUUUUAUUUGCUGUCCCUCUGAUGCACGGUGGAUGCUCUCUUAGGUCGCACAUAGAAAAUGGAGGAAAAGAUUGUGGUAGGAAGCUGAAAAGCAAUGAAAUAUGCCAGGGUUUACCAGAGAAACAAAGAAAGCAUGAAAAAUUCCUGGUACUCAAGUCGAUGAUUCAUUCUGUUAGUGAGAUUGACAAAGCAUCAAUCCUGGAUGACAUGAUUAGAUACUUAGAAGAGCUUGAGGCAAGAGUGGAAGAAUUGGAAUCUUGCAAAAACUUGGUGGAGUAUACAGCAAGACCCAGAAGGAGUGAAUUGGAAAUGGCAGAGAAGACAUCAGAUAACUAUGAAAACAUGAAGUUUGAAAAUGGCAAGAAGGUUUGGAUAAAAAAGAGGAAGGCCAGUUUCAUUUAUGAAACUGAACCAGAGCUUAAUGUAAUGGUAACCGAGGAUGUCUUGCCCACGGAUGUGAAGGUCAGCAUGAGGGAGAAGGAGGUUCUAAUUGAGAUGAAAUGUGCUUACAGGGAAUACAUAUUGCUUGACAUUAUGGAUGAAAUCAACAAUCUUCACUUGGAUGUGCACUCAGUUCAGUCAUCUAGUAUUGAUGGCAUUCUCACAGCGAGCCUAAAGUCUAAGUUUCGAGGGGCAGCAGUUGCAUCUGCAGGGAUGAUCAAACAAGCACUUU
This 744-nucleotide unclassified non-coding RNA is filed under the name Hevea brasiliensis (rubber tree). The record is from RNAcentral. Lineage: Eukaryota; Viridiplantae; Streptophyta; Magnoliopsida; Malpighiales; Euphorbiaceae.